RNAcentral lists this transfer RNA (57 nucleotides) under Ovis aries (sheep). It matches the Rfam family "tRNA", at positions 8 to 63 of the family's 71-position model. From Rfam's summary of the family: Transfer RNA (tRNA) molecules are approximately 80 nucleotides in length. Their secondary structure includes four short double-helical elements and three loops (D, anti-codon, and T loops). The record is from Rfam by way of RNAcentral. Lineage: Eukaryota; Metazoa; Chordata; Mammalia; Artiodactyla; Bovidae.
UGGCUCAGAGGUUAAAGCGUCUGCCUCCAAUGCAGGAGACCCAGGUUCAACCCCUGG